This 446-nucleotide ribosomal RNA is filed under the name uncultured bacterium. RNAcentral's name for it is "partial 16S ribosomal RNA". It matches the Rfam family "Bacterial small subunit ribosomal RNA", at positions 338 to 795 of the family's 1533-position model. The record is from RNAcentral.
CCUACGGGGGGCAGCAGUCGAGAAUCAUUCACAAUGGGGGAAACCCUGAUGGUGCGACGCCGCGUGGGGGAAUGAAGGUCUUCGGAUUGUAAACCCCUGUCAUGUGGGAGCAAAUUAAAAAGAUAGUACCACAAGAGGAAGAGACGGCUAACUCUGUGCCAGCAGCCGCGGUAAUACAGAGGUCUCAAGCGUUGUUCGGAAUCACUGGGCGUAAAGUGUGCGUAGGCUGUUUCGUAAGUCGUGUGUGAAAGGCGCGGGCUCAACCCGCGGACGGCACAUGAUACUGCGAGACUAGAGUAAUGGAGGGGGAACCGGAAUUCUCGGUGUAGGAGUGAAAUGCGUAGAUAUCGAGAGGAACACUCGUGGCGAAGGCGGGUUCCUGGACAUUAACUGACGCUGAGGCACGAAGGCCAGGGGAGCGAAAGGGAUUAGAUACCCCUGUAGUC